GGGUCCCCAACCCCUGGGCCACAGACCGAUAGCGGUCCGUGGCCUGUUCGGAACCGGGCCGCACAGCAGGAGGUGAGUGGUGGACAAACCAGUGAAGCUUCAGCUGUAUUUACAGCCACUCCCCAUCGCUCGCAUUACCACCUGAGCUCCACUUCCUGUCAGCAUUAUGGGAUGUCAGCUGAUGCCUAGAUGGAAAUUUGCCGAACGCUUCUCGUAUCUGAGGCGGAGAGGAGAGUAAAUUCCAGAACACCUGAUCUCAUCACCGAGCCGGAUGAGUUUGGAAUUCAGGAUCCUAAGGCUGCAGAGGGCGGAACGGUGCACGGCGUGUACGAAAGAGCACCCGGGAGGAGUUGGAGGUGGCUCCACAAUCAGACACACGGAUCUAGAUGCCGCCGAACGAGUGACUUGGCCCUGUGAACUCGGAGGGGAAACAAGGGAGGAAAUAGAGGGCCUGUUAUUUCAUCAAAGCAGAAAAAAGCAACACU
Eubalaena glacialis (North Atlantic right whale) is the source of this 485-nucleotide long non-coding RNA. RefSeq lists it as uncharacterized. The record is from RefSeq and is a predicted model, not a curated record. NCBI's taxonomy places the organism in Eukaryota, Metazoa, Chordata, Mammalia, Artiodactyla, Balaenidae. The transcript has 3 exons.